GAUGAACGCUGGCGGCGUGCCUAAUACAUGCAAGUCGAGCGAACAGAUGAGGAGCUUGCUCUUCUGACGUUAGCGGCGGACGGGUGAGUAACACGUGGAUAACCUCCUUAUAAGACUGGGAUAACUUCGGGAAACCGGAGCUAAUACCGGAUAAUAUAUUCAACCGCAUGGUUCAAUAGUGAAAGACGGUUUUGCUGUCACUUAUAGAUGGAUCCGCGCCGCAUUAGCUAGUUGGUAAGGUAACGGCUUACCAAGGCGACGAUGCGUAGCCGACCUGAGAGGAUGAUCGGCCACACUGGAACUGAGACACGGUCCAGACUCCUACGGGAGGCAGCAGUAGGGAAUCUUCGACAAUGGGCGAAAGCCUGACGGAGCAACGCCGCGUGAGUGAUGAAGGUCUUCGGAUCGUAAAACUCUGUUAUUGGGGAAGAACAAAUGUGUAAGAAACUAUGCACGUCUUGACGGUACCUAAUCAGAAAGCAACGGCUAACUACGUG
This 497-nucleotide ribosomal RNA is filed under the name uncultured bacterium. RNAcentral describes it as "partial 16S ribosomal RNA". It matches the Rfam family "Bacterial small subunit ribosomal RNA", at positions 28 to 507 of the family's 1533-position model. The record is from RNAcentral.